AAGACGGGUAGGGGGCGUGAGAGCGUGACCCCCCACACUGGCACUGGGACACGGGCCAGACUCCUACGGGAGGCAGCAGUGAGGAAUAUUGCGCAAUGAGCGAAAGCUAGACGCAGCAACGCCGCGUGGGUGAUGAAGGCCUUCGGGUCGUAAAACCCUUUUCUGGGGGAAGAGUAAGGACGGUACCCCAGGAAUAAGCCUCGGCUAACUAUGUGCCAGCAGCCGCGGUAAUACAUAGGAGGCAAGCGUUAUCCGGAUUUACUGGGUGUAAAGAGCGUUGAGGCGGCUUCGUAAGUUGGACGUGAAAGCUCCCGGCUUAACUGGGAGAGGCCGUUCAAUACUGCGGGGCUUGAGGACAGCAGAGGGGGGUGGAAUUUCCGGUGUAGUGGUGAAAUGCGUAGAUAUCGGAAGGAACACCAGUGGCGAAGGCGGCCCCCUGGGCUGCUCCUGACGCUGAAGGCGAAAGCUAGGGUAGCGAACGGGAUUAGAAACCCCGGUAGUCCUAGCCGUAAACGAUGGAUACUAGGUGUAGGAGGUUAAAAUUCCUUCUGUGCCGGAGCUAACGCGUUAAGUAUCCCGCCUGGGGAGUACGGUCGCAAGGCUAAAACUCAAAGGAAUUGACGGGGGCCCGCACAAGCAGCGGAGCGUGUGGUUUAAUUCGAUGCAACGCGAAGAACCUUACCAGGGCUUGACAUGUAGGUAGUAGUGAAGCGAAAGCGGAACGAUCCUUCGGGAAGCCUACACAGGUGCUGCAUGGCUGUCGUCAGCUCGUGCCGUGAGGUGUUAGGUUAAGUCCUGUAACGAGCGCAACCCCUGCCGUUAGUUACAAGUGUCUAACGGGACUGCCCGGCAAAACUGGGAGGAAGGUGGGGAUGACGUCAAGUCAGCAUGGCCUUUAUGUCCUGGGCUACACACACGCUACAAUGGCCGGUACAAUGGGUUGCCAAGCCGCGAGGCGGAGCCAAUCCUCUAAAGCCGGUCUCAGUUCGGAUUGUAGGCUGCAACCCGCCUGCAUGAAGUUGGAGUUGCUAGUAACCGCAGGUCAGCCACACUGCGGUGAAUACGUUCCCGGGCCUUGUACACACCGCCCGUCACGUCAUGGAAGCUGGUAACACCUGAAGCCGGUGAGC
RNAcentral lists this ribosomal RNA (1130 nucleotides) under uncultured organism. RNAcentral describes it as "bacterial SSU rRNA". It matches the Rfam family "Bacterial small subunit ribosomal RNA", at positions 276 to 1435 of the family's 1533-position model. The record is from RNAcentral.